RNAcentral lists this ribosomal RNA (274 nucleotides) under uncultured bacterium. Its description in RNAcentral is "partial 16S ribosomal RNA". It matches the Rfam family "Bacterial small subunit ribosomal RNA", at positions 523 to 796 of the family's 1533-position model. The record is from RNAcentral.
CUACGGAGGGUGCAAGCGUUACUCGGAAUCACUGGGCGUAAAGCGCGCGCAGGCGGCUAUUUAAGUUGGAUGUGAAAGCCUACGGCUCAACCGUAGAACUGCAUCCAAAACUAUUUAGCUAGAGUGUGAGAGAGGAAGAUGGAAUUAGUUGUGUAGGGGUAAAAUCCGUAGAGAUAACUAGGAAUACCAAAAGCGAAGGCAAUCUUCUGGAACACUACUGACGCUGAGGCGCGAAAGCGUGGGGAGCAAACAGGAUUAGAAACCCUAGUAGUCC